GGCAUGAUGGCUCAGUGGUUAGAGCACCCGCCUCAUGAACGGGAGGUCGUGGGUUCGAACCCCGGCUGAGUCA
RNAcentral lists this transfer RNA (73 nucleotides) under Strongylocentrotus purpuratus (purple sea urchin). It matches the Rfam family "tRNA". From Rfam's summary of the family: Transfer RNA (tRNA) molecules are approximately 80 nucleotides in length. Their secondary structure includes four short double-helical elements and three loops (D, anti-codon, and T loops). Further hydrogen bonds mediate the characteristic L-shaped molecular structure. tRNAs have two regions of fundamental functional importance: the anti-codon, which is responsible for specific mRNA codon recognition, and the 3' end, to which the tRNAs corresponding amino acid is attached (by aminoacyl-tRNA synthetases). tRNAs cope with the degeneracy of the genetic code in two manners: having more than one tRNA (with a specific anti-codon) for a particular amino acid; and 'wobble' base-pairing, i.e. permitting non-standard base-pairing at the 3rd anti-codon position. Lineage: Eukaryota; Metazoa; Echinodermata; Echinoidea; Camarodonta; Strongylocentrotidae. The record is from Rfam by way of RNAcentral.